GUGCCUACUGAACUGAUAACAGUUACUAUAUUACAUACUGGCUCAGUUCAGCAGGAACAG
RNAcentral lists this microRNA precursor (60 nucleotides) under Scyliorhinus torazame (cloudy catshark). Its description in RNAcentral is "Sto-Mir-24-P2_pre stem-loop". It matches the Rfam family "mir-24 microRNA precursor family", at positions 8 to 65 of the family's 69-position model. From Rfam's summary of the family: This family represents the microRNA (miRNA) mir-24 family. miRNAs are transcribed as ~70nt precursors (modelled here) and subsequently processed by the Dicer enzyme to give a ~22nt product. Lineage: Eukaryota; Metazoa; Chordata; Chondrichthyes; Carcharhiniformes; Scyliorhinidae. The record is from RNAcentral.